AGUGAACGCUGGCGGUAGGCUUAACACAUGCAAGUCGAACGGUAGCACAGUACGAGCUUGCUCGUACGGUGGGCAAGUGGCGAGUGAGUGGGGAAUACCUUGCAAUCUACUCUUUCGUGGGGGAUGACGAAGGGAAACAUACGCUAAUACCGGAUACGACCUACGGGUGAAAGCAGGGGAGCUUCGGACCUUGCGCGAUUGAACGCGCCGUAGUCGCAUUAGCUAGUUGGGGGGGUAAAGACCCACCAAGGCGACGAUCCGUAGCUGGUCUGAGAGGAUGAUCAGCCACACUAGAACUGGGACGCGGUCCAGACUCCUACGGGAGGCACCAGUGGGGAAUAUUGGGCAAUAGGCGCGAGUAUUACACAGCCAUACCACGUGGGUGGAGGAGGCCUUCGGGUUGUAAAGACCGUUUUUGGGGAAAAAAAAGCAGCAGGUUAAGACGCCGCUGUACUGACGGUACCCAAAGAAGAAGCACCGGCUAACUUCGUG
RNAcentral lists this ribosomal RNA (492 nucleotides) under uncultured bacterium. Its description in RNAcentral is "partial 16S ribosomal RNA". It matches the Rfam family "Bacterial small subunit ribosomal RNA", at positions 29 to 507 of the family's 1533-position model. The record is from RNAcentral.